GGGCCAGACUCCUACGGGAGGCAGCAGUGGGGGAUAUUGCACAAUGGGGGGAACCCUGAUGCAGCGACGCCGCGUGGGUGAAGGAGUAUUUCGGUAUGUAAAGCCCCAUCGGCAGGGAAGAAUUUAGACGGUACCUGACUAAGAAGCCCCGGCUAACUACGUGCCAGCAGCCGCGGUAAUACGUAGGGGGCAAGCGUUAUCCGGAUUCACUGGGUGUAAAGGGAGCGUAGACGGCUGAGCAAGCCUGAAGUGAAAGGCGGGGGCCCAACCCCUGGACUGCUUUGGGAACUGUACGGCUGGAGUGCAGGAGAGGUAAGUGGAAUUCCUAGUGUAGCGGUGAAAUGCGUAGAUAUUAGGAGGAACACCAGUGGCGAAGGCGGCUUACUGGACUGUAACUGACGUUGAGGCUCGAAAGCGUGGGGAGCAAACAGGAUUAGAUACCCCGGUAAA
Molecule: ribosomal RNA, 450 nt
Filed under: uncultured bacterium
Lineage: Bacteria
Description: bacterial SSU rRNA
Rfam family: Bacterial small subunit ribosomal RNA
Source: RNAcentral